CAGCACUUCUCUGAAGCUACCACAGAGGGAAGAACCUGGUUUUCUCCUUUGAGCAAGGCUCCCUUCACUACCCCUGCUUCAGAAAAGAAGUCAGACUCUCCGGACAGCUUUUCUGUUCCCACCAGCCAUUCUCCAGCCAUGUACUCCCAAGGCAAGGACCCUGGCUGUGGCCUGAAUCCCUGCCUUCCAGUUCCACUGACUCACGAAGGGGCAUCUGAGACCUCCUUGCUGCACUUUCUGGGAGUGUUGGCACUGUAA
This 258-nucleotide long non-coding RNA is filed under the name Fukomys damarensis (Damara mole-rat). RNAcentral's name for it is "lncRNA (ENSFDAG00000031999.1)". The record is from RNAcentral. Lineage: Eukaryota; Metazoa; Chordata; Mammalia; Rodentia; Bathyergidae.